UGUGGCUCAGUGGUAGAGUGCUUGCCUUGCAUGCAUGAGGUCCUGGGUUCAAUUCCUCAGCA
RNAcentral lists this transfer RNA (62 nucleotides) under Dipodomys ordii (Ord's kangaroo rat). It matches the Rfam family "tRNA", at positions 6 to 65 of the family's 71-position model. From Rfam's summary of the family: Transfer RNA (tRNA) molecules are approximately 80 nucleotides in length. Their secondary structure includes four short double-helical elements and three loops (D, anti-codon, and T loops). The record is from Rfam by way of RNAcentral. Lineage: Eukaryota; Metazoa; Chordata; Mammalia; Rodentia; Heteromyidae.